ACAGACAGCCAGGAUGUUGGCUUAGAAGCAGCCAUCAUUUAAAGAAAGCGUAAUAGCUCACUGGUCGAGUCGGCCUGCGCGGAAGAUGUAACGGGGCUAAACCAUGCACCGAAGCUGCGGCAGCGACGCUUAUGCGUUGUUGGGUAGGGGAGCGUUCUGUAAGCCGUUGAAGGUGUCCUGUGAGGGGUGCUGGAGGUAUCAGAAGUGCGAAUGCUGACAUAAGUAACGAUAAAGCGGGUGAAAAGCCCGCUCGCCGGAAGACCAAGGGUUCCUGUCCAACGUUAAUCGGGGCAGGGUGAGUCGACCCCUAAGGCGAGGCCGAAAGGCGUAGUCGAUGGGAAACAGGUUAAUAUUCCUGUACUUGGUGUUACUGCGAAGGGGGGACGGAGAAGGCUAUGUCAGCCGGGCGACGGUUGUCCCGGUUUAAGCAUGUAGGCGGAGGUUCCAGGUAAAUCCGGUACCUUGUUAACGCUGAGGUGUGAUGACGAGGCACUACGGUGCUGAAGUGAUAAAUGCCCUGCUUCCAGGAAAAGCCUCUAAGCAUCAGGUAACACGAAAUCGUACCCCAAACCGACACAGGUGGUCAGGUAGA
RNAcentral lists this ribosomal RNA (592 nucleotides) under Enterobacter hormaechei. Its description in RNAcentral is "partial 23S ribosomal RNA". It matches the Rfam family "Bacterial large subunit ribosomal RNA", at positions 1085 to 1675 of the family's 2925-position model. The record is from RNAcentral. Lineage: Bacteria; Pseudomonadati; Pseudomonadota; Gammaproteobacteria; Enterobacterales; Enterobacteriaceae.